Molecule: long non-coding RNA, 7964 nt
Organism: Hemicordylus capensis (graceful crag lizard)
Lineage: Eukaryota; Metazoa; Chordata; Lepidosauria; Squamata; Cordylidae
Exons: 3
Source: RefSeq, a predicted model, not a curated record
GAUGCAGUGUGGGGACUGGAUCAUUUCAUUAGAAUUAGACAAGGUUUACUAGCAUAAUUGUGAAAAUAUAUGGAUUUGACACUACAGGCAUUCUCCUUUAUAAGAAAGGAAAGUGAGACAAUCCUACCUAAUUUACCAUCCUAUAAGCCCAGGGCCAGACUGGGAGGGCACUGAGAGGCCGGUGGAAUGUAUGUGGGCAGAAUGGGUGAGUUUCACCAUACUUUUUUGGUUUCAUUUAAUAAUAAUUUUUUUUCUGUUAACAUUUGAUAUCUGACCUCUGUUUUCUGUUACUUAUAGGUUACUAUAAAUACUUCAAGUGAAGUAUCACUUGUAACUAUUAAGAAAGCACAAUUCUAUACUAAUACAAUAUUUUGGAUAAAUGUGUUCCUAUGUAGCCCAGUUCCUGCAGGAUAGUUAGAAACGGAAGUGGAUGGCAUCUUAAUUCACUCUAUGAGUCACUCCACAAUCUCCCCUUCAGUCCCACAAUAGCACUGUUUUAAGUUCUCUCUCCCCAUCAAUUUCCAUGAGAUGCCUGCCCUCCUACCAGUGUUCCCUCUAAUUCUUACCAUCAGUGAGCAGAAAGAGUUUUGUUCUGGGCAGCACUCUGCACAUCACUCUCUCUCACACACACAUGUAUAUAAUGCACCACGCACAGUGUGGCGCACAAAAACAUUUUAUCUCACCCCUAGCCCCCCUCCUCUGGCUCUGACUUUACAAGAAGUAACAUCUCCAGGAUAGCUGAGAAGAGAUAAGUAUCAGUCUCUCAAGCUAUAUUAUUUUAAGGCAUAUAGAAGAACAGGCUCAUUUCACAUGGGGUUAUGAAAUCUCAUGGCUCCUCUCUGUCCCUUAUGGAUACAUUUAUACAAAUGUUACAUGGAAGAUGCUGAAAGGCAUCAUCUCAUACUGCAUGGGAGAUGGCAAUGGUAAACUCAGGGCUCUGUGGUCACCAGGAGUCAAAAUCGACUUGAUGGCACACUUUACCUUUAUAUAUGUCCAGAACUGUCUGGGGGGGGGGAAUUCGUAUGUAUAUUCUUUAAACUAAGGUGUAACAUAUAAGUAAGGUUUGCAUUUCACAGCAAUUCACUGGCCACAUGAACAACCACCUUUACAAAAAAUUUCUUACUCCCCUCCAUCUCAUCAUUGAAACUUACACAAGAUCACACACAGGCUUUUACUUUGUGCCAAUUAGUAUCAAAUAAGGAUCUGUCUUCACAAUUAGUAAUGAAAAUUAUAUUUUCCACUUCACUCUAAGCAUGCAUUGAAAAAGUGAGGAGAAAACACACACAAUUCUUUCAUUUCUCAGCCACUAUGGCUGCAAGUACAAGCUAGUGGGGAGUGGGGGAGGAGGAGGUAAAAAGUACACAUUAAGUCAUCUUGAAUAUAUGAUCCAAGCUGAAAUUGGGAUCCAGGAGAGAGAGCACGUGCCAGAUUUCUAAAAGGCUGUCCUUUAUUGGGGGGUGGGGGCGACAUAGAUCUGCAGAAUACCCAGGGGGGAAAGCUCAGAUAGAGGGAUGGUGACUAGCGACCAGCUCAUUGACAGCCUCUUUAAUGGAAAGGCAUUUCAAAAGUAAUCUCUUGGCCACAACAUGCUUUUUUCAUCUCCCUUAUGUUGCUGGGAAGGGCAGGCUUCAUUUAAGAUGAGUUUCCCAGGUGGAGGUGCUAUAGAUUUUUGACAAUUUAUGUUCAAACUAUUUUGGGGAGAAAGAAGAUGGGAAAACCCCACAAACCAUUAAAGCCACCCGGAAGCACUGACAUGCCCCAACCUGAGUCAGGGGAAGUGGUGGUGGGGGGGAAGAGACAACAAGCUACUGACACCCUUCCCCACCCCACCCCUUAAUACAGGAAAGGCAACCAGGCUAGAUGGGAGGUUCCCCUCCACCGCUUCUCUGUUGUUCUCCCAGAGAUGUGUGCAUGAAAAAUGGGAAGGGGAAGCACACGCCGGAGUGGCUGAGGCAGGAAGAAGAAAGGGUGGGGCAGUGCCGUGAAUGUGGGGCCACAGGAUACUUACCCUCUCACUCUCUUUUAUUUGGAAAUAUGUAUCCAGCACAUACACCCAUCAGUGUUCAGCCCCUCCUCCUCCUCUGUGUCUGAUGUUUGGAUUUGGGAGUUAGAAAGCUACCUAUCAAGCGCCCCCGCCCCCCCCCCCCCCUGUGGGCAAGAGCUUGUGAGAAUUCAGAGUGGGGGAGGAGGAGGGAAUGGUUGGAAGUGGAGUUGGGGAGCUAAGAAAACACAGACCUUCCCCGCACAAAGCUCACAAUAGAUACACAGAGAGGCACGUACAUGUGUGUAUCUGUCCAAGGUGAGGCUUUUCCUCCGGCUCCAGCACUCUCUUUCAGAUCUGGGUGGUGGUGGUGAUGGGGAAAGGGAAGUGUGUUUUCAAUGCAACCUACUGACAGGUGUAGCAUCAUUCUCUCAUACUUAUCAACAGCCCCUUCCCUACACCAGAAUUAUUGCCACAUUUACUCAAACUGGCUUCUCAUAACCAAUCAGAAGGAGAGGAAGUGGGGCUCUCUGGAGAGAGGGAAAAGGGGAUCUGCACAGCUGGCGUGGGGUGAGCCCAGUGAGUGCAGCAGGGUGCACCAGGCAAAGGCGCACUGGGAAAAUGCCCUGCUGCCCGGUGGGCCAGUCUGAGCCUGUAUAAGCCUUCUAAGUGUGGUGACUAAGACCUAUGCUAGGCAUUUGUAUGAAAAGUUAGUAGACUUGAUUGAUUCAAAAGAUAUUUUGGCAGAUGAACAGACCAGGCUUAGGGUCAGCCAUUCUAUUAUAGAUCAAGUCCUAGUACUGGCAGCAUUUGGUUGAAAAAUAUUCCACAAAACCAGAUUGAUUGUAUGCUGCUUUUGUAGGCUUUAAGACUGCUUUUGACUCAAUUUCCGGUAGGGAAUUAUGAUGCAAGAUGCUGGACUCCACAAUUGACCAUCAUCUUUUUCUAUUAAUCUACAAGGUAUAUGAAGAUUCCACAUUAAAGUAUUGAGAUACCAUCCAUCAAAGCAGGCUGAAAGGCAUUUACUGAUUCUGCUUUAUGCAGAUGAUGCCAUUCUGCUUCCCAAGACAUUGAUUUAAGGUGAGUCUUGCAGGCCUUUUCUUUGUAUUGUGAUCAGCAGGCAUUAGAAAUAAAUUAUGAUAAAACUAAAAUAAUGACAUUUGGGGAAAGAUCUAAAAUAAGAAAAUAGCUUUUGAAUAACCAUAAAUUGGAGCAGAUUACCUGUUUCAAAUAUCUUGGUGUAGUCGUGCAAGCAUUGGACAGUAGAGGUAAAGUUAAAGUGCGCCAUCAAGUCGGUUUCGACUCCUGGCACCCACAGAACCCUAUGGUUUUCUUUUGGUAGAAUACAGGAGGAGGUUACCAUUGCCUCCUCCCACGCGGUAUGAGAUGAUGCUAUAUUGCUGCUGCCCAAUAUAGGUGUUUCCCAUGGUCUGAGAAACAUACCAGCAGGGAUUCGAACUGGCAGCCUUCUGCUUGUUAGUCAUUUCUCUGCCACACCACUUAAGGUGCACUGGGCAGUAAAACAGCACUUUAAAUUAUGUUCUUCAAAAUGGUUCCUGGGACCAUGGUGGGGGCACGGGCUGGAAAAAAGCCCACCCGUUGCCCCCCAGCCUCCCUGACUGCUGGCUCCUGACUGGACAGUGUGUGAUAUUAUUUCCACAGGAGCAAGAUAAAGGGCAUGCCAAUAAUGUUUUCUUUUUCACCAUGUCCAUAUAGUUCUUCUGCAGCAGACAUGAGCAGACGGGGAGAAGAAGGUAGCAGGCAGAAAUAAUUGAAAUAGCAGAGUUGGAACCAAGCAAAAACAGGUUCCAUAUGAUCCACAGAGACUGGUCCUGCACUCCAAGAUGCUUCAGCUGCACUUCAGAUUCACAGGGUCUCCAAUCCAGCCUCUCCAGAACUCUGUUUUUCUCUGACACAAGCUGCCUAAAGGGCUGUUUCUUUUCAUACAUGCACUGCUGGCUGUGGGGAGGCUGAGGAAGAAUCACCUUACAUCUGCCCUGCCGAUUGGUGGAAGAUGCCAUCGUACAAAACACAUGGCUUCGCCCAUAAAGAUAUUUCAGGCUUAUUAGCACCCCAGUCAGAAACAUCUUCUGGCCUUCUAGACUAUUAGCCAGUCAUCUGCCUAAGAAAAGAGUGUGCAUAACUCAUUACAAUACAAUACAUAAUCCAUUACCAUACAAACAGAACUAAGUUCUGAACUAAGAUUCAAAGGACUGUCAGCCUUUCCCAAAUCUGCUAUGCUCAAGGGGUUAGAAUAGAGGUAGCUGCUGGUCCCCUGAUAGAUAAAUUUUAUUUCAGUCAUUGGCCAGUAAAAGAGUACAGUUACAUAGACUCAGAAUGAAUUUUACAGACAAUAUAACAAAACUUAGCCAUUCUACAAAUAAUCUCCUUAUUGGUGUUUGCUAAUAAAAAAUGUAAAUAAAAGUCAUCAGGACAUCCAGAGAGGUUUUCCAACAGAGGGGAAAUUAAACUUAAAUGAAUAUCCUUAUAGAAAACACGAUAUAGGAUAACAUAUGAAGUGGUUUCUAUGGCCCCAGUGCCACAUGGACACAGUUGGGAGGAAAAAGAUAUUCCUCCAAACCUGCCGUCAAGAACUGCUGUAGUAGUACAUUAAGACACGCUAAAGUAAGGGCACACCUAAAUUUAGACAGAGAUACCUCACUUAAAUAUUCCGCUGGUUUAAAGUUGAUAGUUUGGUUCCCUAGAUAUAUACCACUCUUGAGGCCAGCCAAUUCAUCCUGUAGUUCUAUAUCCAAAAUGCAUUGUUUAACCACUUUUGUGUCCUGAUCUAGUCCUAGGUCAAUUAAUUCAAUGGGGGGAAAGUCCCUAAUGAGUUAAUUUAUGUAUGACUAAAGACUUCCAUUUAAAUUUGUGAUAUAUAAGUAAACCACCACUUUAAAAAGUGCCUAUUUGUGCACUUAGCAUGCAAAGCUCAUCAUUGUGCCAUCUCAGUAACAAGUACCUGCACCGCUGUGGUAAAAGUGUAGCCACUGACAGAUAUAGGCGUACAGAGAUAAUGCACUUAUAUGUGGGCUAUACCACUUCACAGUCCAGUGAGAGCGCACACAAUUAAAUGCCUCUCCAUAUAACACACACACCUCCACAUAGCCAUUUUCAAAGAGCUUUCCUCUACCCAUUUUUUCCUGUAAGGAGUGAUUUUCUUCAGUCCCACCAGGAGGAAAACAGUGGAGGUGAAGCAGUUUUAGGGUGAUGGGAAGCAUGGGUGGGAGACGAACCAGCCUUCCCCUUCUGUCCAGCCAUGCUGCUCUUCAUACGGCCUUCUCUGCUUCCUACUUACUUUAUAUGGACAGAACAGUAGCCUCUACGUGGGUCUGUUGCCAUAACGUCUGCUUUGGUCCUAAGAUUCCACUGAGUGCAAACCGUUCUAUUGCUCUGUAGGAUCAAUCUGAUUCUUAGAGUGGUGUCAUCUAGAAAGAAUAUUGUCACUUCAUCUUUGGGCUGAUUUGAUAGUGUUGGUUCACAUAAAAGUGGUUCUUUCCUCUCUUUUUUAAAAGAAUGUACUCAAUCCUAUUUUCAUCUGUAGAUCAAUAUUGCUGGGUUACCAGAAAGCUUAACAUCUAAAUCUGUUAAGUUCAUGGUACAGCUAGAUAAGCUGCAGUGUCAACCUUUUCUAAUACAGUGAAAAGUUUUUUAGUUUUCUAGUACAGAGCAGAUUUUCCGGUGGAAUGGCUGCAGUUAAAAUAAAAUUGCAUACCUGAAAUAUGUCAGAAUAUCCCACAUAUUUCAGGUAUACAUAAAAUUGAAUACCUGAAAUAUAUCAGAAGUAUAUGGUCUCAGUGGUAGUAGUGAUGAUGUGAAUGUUGAUGACAGAGGUCCUUGCAAAGUUUUUGAUGAAAUUAUAUGUGUGAAGUAGCAUGGUGAAUAUGACCUCAUACAGUGUCGUCAUCAAACUAAUCUGAGAAAAAGUAUAGGUAAUGCUAUGUCUCUUGUUUAAGGAUCUGUCCAGUGCAAACAAUGCAAUCUGGAUCCAGCUGCCCUUAGCUGCAACUCAUUUCAAUAUGCUGAGACAACUCCACACUCCAUUUUGCUUUCACAUUUAGCAGAAGCCCUAUUCAUGAUUUAUCAAAAUGAAUAUAUUACAGCCAUUCACAUGACCAACCACAGCAAGGUAGGAGUGGGAAAAUCUGGGUAGAGAGGCUCAUUUGGAGCCAUGGCACCUGAUCCUCCGCCACUGCUCCCGAGCAGGGCUACCCUGUUCUUCUACCUUACAUUUAACCAAGGUAAGAGGCCCAAACUCCCAUCUUAACAGCCCCAAUCAUGUGUGCAAUCAAGGCUAUUUGCAGCAGCUCCUGGCAGCCCAGCUGGUUCUGCAUCAUAGAGUGCCACCUAGAGUGGCCAGGAAGUUAGGAGCUGCUGCAUUGAUGUGGACAGCCUCUCUACUGCCUGUUCAAUGCAUUGUGGAAUCUUGGAGGACUUCUUCUCCCAGUUCCCUCUUGCAGGCAGCUCCGCUGUGCCAAUUAUGUGGGCACAUAAUUGGCAGAGAUGGGGUGAGCCCUUACUCAUGUGGGGGCAGGUAGGUAUACUCCUGCCUUCCCCCCAGCCACCAGGGGUUUUGGUCAUGUGAACUACCUUAUUGGCUAACCUCCUAACAAAGUCCUGGCACUUAAUGAAACCUCCAUGAGAUGCACUGGUGCUGCUGAUGGGUUCAAUUAAAAUAGCACCAACAAUCAUGUGGGGAUGGGGAGGAAUUUUGACAACCUCUCCUUUCCCCAGAACUCCUCUGUGCCACCCAAAAAUAUGUCUCUGAGAGUUGUGCAUCCCUCCGAGACACAAUUUGGGGUGGCACAGAGGGCUUCUGGGAGAAAGGAAGGUCAUUGAAGUUUGCCCCUCCUGCAAACACUGGUGCUCCAUUAGGCUGGAACUCAGCAGCAGCACUGGUACAUCUUACAUAGCACGGAUGCUUUGUUAGUCAGGAUGUCAGCCAGUGUACCCAGAUAUAGGAGAAAUGUAAGCAUGCCAGCUAGCAAUGGCCCCAGUGUUGAUGUGCUCUGUGGCUUGGAGAGAGAAAGUAUUCCGAGGCUCAGUGUUUGACUCUCCCCAAGGUGGCACAGCCAUUGAGGGCAGCACCAAGUGGAACAAGACCUCUCUUGAGCAUUUAAAUGGGCAAUUUGAAACCUGUGGAAAAACCUGCCAUCCUUAAGGUUUUGUGGGCCUGAGCUAUUUAGGGAUGUAAAGGUCAAAACCAAGACAUUUAAUUGCACCCAGAAACAGUCAGCGCAGAGGGAUGAUAUGGUUUAUGCAAGAGGCCUCUGAAAGCAAUCUGGCUGCAAUCUACAUGAGGCUGCAAGGAUAGCCCUAUGUAGCUUGUAUUGCAUGGCCACACCAGGAUAGAACGGUCACAGUUGGCCUAAGCUGUUAUUUGAGCAUUUAGCAGCAAAACCAGAUUCAGAUGUACUUCUAGACUAAUGUGGUGCUUGUGCAAACAUGUCACACUAACACAUGGUUGUCACACUAGCUAGUUCCACUAAGUUGGGAGCUUGCACUCCAGUGCUAGCCACCUAAUGAUGCAGUGGGGAAAUGACUUGAUUAUCAAGCCAGAGGUUGCCGGUUCAAAUCCCCGCUGGUAUGUUUCCCAGACUAUGGAAACUCCUAUAUCGGGCAGCAGCGAUAUAGGAAGCGUCAUCUCAUACUGCAUGGGAGGAGGCAAUGGUAAACCCCUCCUGUAUUCUACCAAGGACAGCCACAGGGCUCCUUGGUCACCAGGAGUAAAAACCGACUUGAUGGCACAUUUGACCUCCAGGACUAGUGUUGUGCCGUCACAACAAUAGAGUGCACAACCUCCUGCUCCGAAACCUCUUUCUCAGUCCAUGUAUAUUGCAGGGAAUUGUGUAAGGAAGCACUUUACAUCCCCAUUGAAUGCAGGCUUAGCUUUUAAAUUUUCCAGCUAGUCUCAUGAAUUCAUAUGAUAAAUUCAUAUGAAUAUGGAGCAGUUUGGUGGUUCGGCGGCGGUGGUGGUUCUUUA